RNAcentral lists this ribosomal RNA (328 nucleotides) under uncultured bacterium. RNAcentral's name for it is "bacterial SSU rRNA". It matches the Rfam family "Bacterial small subunit ribosomal RNA", at positions 28 to 334 of the family's 1533-position model. The record is from RNAcentral.
GACGAACGCUGGCGGCGUGCUUAACACAUGCAAGUCGAACGGAGAGACAUGGAAGCUUGCUUCUAUGAAUCUUAGUGGCGAACGGGUGAGUAACGCGUAAUCAACCUGCCCUUAGAGGGGGAUAACAACGGGAAACCGUUGCUAAUACCGCGUACGAUAUGCUUUCGGCAUCGAGAGCAUAUGAAAGGUGGCCUCUAUAUAUAAGCUAUCGCUGAAGGAGGGGAUUGCGUCUGAUUAGCUAGUUGGAGGGGUAACGGCCCACCAAGGCAAUGAUCAGUAGCCGGUCUGAGAGGAUGAACGGCCACAUUGGGACUGAGACACGGCCCAA